UUUCGGGGAAUCUAGAGACAGGUGGUGCAUGGUUGUCGUCAGCUCGUGUCGUGAGAUGUUGGGUUAAGUCCCGCAACGAGCGCAACCCUUGUGAUUAGUUGCUACAUUUAGUUGAGCACUCUAAUCAGACUGCCGUUGACAAAACGGAGGAAGGUGGGGACGACGUCAAAUCAUCAUGCCCUUUAUGACCUGGGCUACACACGUACUACAAUGGUCGCUAACAGAGGGAUGCAAUGCCGCGAGGUGGAGCAAAACCCUAAAAGCGAUCUCAGUUCGGAUUGUAGGCUGCAACUCGCCUACAUGAAGUUGGAAUUGCUAGUAAUCGCGGAUCAGCAUGCCGCGGUGAAUACGUUCCCGGGCCUUGUACACACCGCCCGUCACACCAUGGGAGCCGGUAAUACCCGAAGUCAGUAGUCUAACCGCAAGGAGGACGCUGCCGAAGGUAGGAUUGGCGACUGGGGUGAAGUCGUAACAAGGUAGCCGUAUCGGAAGGUGCGGCUGGAUCACCUCCUUUAUG
This 517-nucleotide ribosomal RNA is filed under the name uncultured Oscillospiraceae bacterium. RNAcentral describes it as "bacterial SSU rRNA". It matches the Rfam family "Bacterial small subunit ribosomal RNA", at positions 1017 to 1533 of the family's 1533-position model. Lineage: Bacteria; Bacillati; Bacillota; Clostridia; Eubacteriales; Oscillospiraceae. The record is from RNAcentral.